UAUAAAUAGGACAAGAAAGGUGCAGUUACAAUCAGUGGGCCAGACCUGCAGCUGGUGUAAACUGGAACCGCUACCACUGAAGUCAAUGGAGCUACAGCAAUUGACAAUCUGGCCCAGUGCCUUAUCAGGUCAUUAUUCAAUUAUCUGAGAUGCAUACUGCCCUUGGACUGCCUGUUACAUCUACCAGAAGAUGCCAGAAGUUUAGAAGUCAGAGCUAGUCCUUUCUCAACAACAACAACAAAAGAACAUUAGUCUACUGGCUCUGCCACAAGUGGGAGUUUUAACAUUUUUGAUGUGAUGCCCAAAUGUGGAAAUUAUCAGCUACCCACUCAAAGAAGACUACAGUGGAGCAAAGUUGAUAUAGGACCUAUGCUAAGCAAAAAGGACAAACAACAGAAUACUUUGCACCCAUUGCUGCAUGUGCAUAUGAACAGUCCAAGGAGACCAAUUCCAUUUAGGAAGUGCUGCCCUGGUUCCGCAAUGGCCAGCAUUCUGGGUCUGGGACGAGCAGUCAAAAAAAAUAUUAUUUAUUAAGAUUGAUGGGGCAAGAGCAAUGGAAAACUCUGGAUUUGGAGUACAGGGAGUCAGCAGCCGAAGUCUUCUUGUGCGGUGAAGGACACAGAAGCAACUGCUGCUCCAAUCACAGGCAGUUCUCUCACUUCCCCUAAAAAUAUUUAAUAUCAGCACUGAAGAAGGGUCUAUAUAUUAAGGCCAAUCAGAUUCUCAGGAUAUUCCAGACAUAUGCUCUGCUCCUCUUCUUAUAGGCUUCAACUACUUUAAUGUACUGUAUUCUAAUGAGAAAAACUGACCACUUAACAUGUGUAAUUAAAUAAUAUUAAAAAUACUUUUCCAACUA
Malaclemys terrapin pileata is the source of this 856-nucleotide long non-coding RNA. RefSeq lists it as uncharacterized. The transcript is spliced from 5 exons. Lineage: Eukaryota; Metazoa; Chordata; Testudines; Emydidae. The record is from RefSeq and is a predicted model, not a curated record.